CCGCAUGCGUGAGCGUGAUGGGAGCAAUGGCGGCGGCGAAUCCAGCCGGAGUUGUCUUAGCCGCCGCCGCGGCCGCCGCCGCUACCGUGGCUUCCUCCGCCGCUCUCCUCUCGUACGUCCUCCUCUCCAACCAUCGCUCGAAGUUCCCAUGGAAGAGAUCUCGCACAAACCCUCGAAGAAAUAGGAGGAGGAGCGGCCUCGCCGCCGCCGUCGGCUAUACCCCCCUUAUCAGAAUCAACAGCCUCUCCGACGCGACGGGAUGCGAGAUUCUGGGGAAAGCCGAGUUCUUGAACCCUGGGGGGAGCGUCAAAGACCGUGUGGCCGUUAAAAUCAUUGAAGAGGCUCUGGAUUCUGGAGAGCUUGUCCAUGGUGGUGUAGUGACUGAGGGAAGCGCUGGAAGCACAGCUAUAAGCCUUGCUACAGUUGCUCCAGCAUAUGGAUGUAAAUGUCAUGUCGUGAUUCCAGAUGAUGUUGCCAUCGAGAAGUCCCAAAUACUUGAGGCCCUUGGAGCUACUGUAGAGAGAGUGAGACCAGUUUCGAUUACACACAGAGACCACUAUGUGAAUGUUGCAAGGAGGAGGGCCUUGGAGGCUACUAAGUCCGCAGCAAUGCAAAGAGAAGCUUGUAAAAUGGAAGGCAACAGCUUAAUUCACAUAAAUGGUCAUACACCACAGCAAGAAAAAUGUCAGCCCAUCUCCUCUACUGAUUGUAAAGGAGGUUUCUUUGCUGAUCAGUUUGAAAACUUGGCAAACUUUCAGGCCCAUUAUGAGUGGACUGGUCCUGAAAUAUGGGAACAAACUCGAGGGAGACUGCAUGCCUUUGUUGCUGCUGCAGGUACAGGUGGAACUGUUGCUGGAAUAUCACGGUUUCUCAAGGAAAAGAAUCCAAAUAUUAAAUGCUUCCUUAUUGAUCCACCUGGAUCUGGUCUGUUCAACAAGGUCACAAGAGGAGUAAUGUACUCAAAGGAGGAGGCAGAGGGCCGAAGACUGAAGAACCCUUUUGAUACCAUCACAGAAGGAAUUGGAAUCAACAGACUGACCAAGAAUUUUCUGAUGGCAGAGUUAGAUGGAGCUUACCGUGGCACAGAUAAGGAGGCCGUUGAAAUGUCCAGGUUUCUUCUGAAGAAUGAUGGUCUUUUCAUCGGGAGUUCUUCAGCCAUGAACUGUGUUGGAGCUGUACGAUUGGCACAAUCUUUAGGUCCAGGUCACACAAUUGUAACGAUUCUGUGUGACAGUGGGAUGAGGCAUCUCAGUAAGUUCCACAACGCUCAGUAUCUGGCUGAUCAUGGACUGACCCCCUCUGCGACUGGUCUGGAGUUCCUCGAUCGUCCUUGAAUUUGGGUGGGCCAUGUUGUAUGAUUGUCUUUCCUCUCCUAGUCUGAGUUUUGCAAUUUGAGCAGCCAACGCAGUAAAUGAACAUUCAGUAGAUUAUCAACGCUACAUAUAAUGUAUGCCAUCAUGAAGGUAUGCAGUUUUUCUGUAGUUCGUGCGCACUGGGAUAGAGGCCAUCGUGCAGUUUUUGGCAUCUAGAGAUUGAAUCCAACAAGUGGUGCUGCAAGAGAUGGAAGAGAGCAUUUUCUAGAUCUUAAUUAUACCAGUAGAAAGCAGCUUCAUUAUCAUGUGGUAUGAAUGGUUCCACAGGUUGGCUUUUGGUUACAUCACUCGAGAAGGUGAUACGGCCAGUCUCAGGGUUGCUAGUUAUUAUACUUUAUAUGUUGAAAUUCUCAUUUUUAUGCUGCCAUUCAGCUGGUCAUCUACAGGAUCUUGUGCUUAUGUAUAGCCCUCAAUUUUGUAAAAUGAUACUGUGAAGGAUUGUGGACUGUUACUAUGAUGAUUAAAUUAUCAAAGAUUCAUUGUUCAGGUCCAUUUUUGUGUUUGUGGGUGUUCACCUGGCUCCCUUUAGUAACUUUAAAAAGCAGUUUUUGGUACUCAUCUGACAGUAUAACCAUACUGCCCAUCCCUCUUGCACUCUCUGCACAAAUGAGCUAGGAUCUGCAAAUAAAGCCACUGGAUGUCAGAAAGGAAAGAAACAAAUUCAGCUGAAAUAUUUAGUUCCAGUGAAAUAUGACCAUAACCUUGGUGUAAUAAGGGGCUGCUACAUUCAACAAAUUCAUUAAACAUGGCAAUUUGACAAUGGAAGUAUAUGGUUAUAUAUCAUACAGCUCUAUCAUUAAGGUAAAACAUCACCCACAUUUGGCAUUAAGUUGCACUAAAAACUCAAUGUCAGAUCAUACUGCUAGUAUUCCAACCUCCAGGUGUGCAAUGCCCCCUAGCUAAAGAUGUCUAUGGAUUAGAUUUCAUGCCCUGAUGCGUCGGUGAACUUCGACGAAGCAUGGAGAUUGGUGGCAUUUGUUUAUGAUAGAGACAUUAACCUAAGAUAAGCUACACAUAUCAUGGCAUUGCCUCUUGUAGGGAUCGACUCAUGGACCAAGUAGAACUGAAGAAGCAAGCUUGUGGACAGGUGGAAGCUCAAUGAGAAUGUUGAAAGGCGGUUCCUCUGCCUGAAGCAAAAUGCUUUGCCUCCAAAUACCUCAACCUGCUGGAACAUCUCCUUAACCCAAGUCAUUAUAGAAUCCUGAUGUUGAAUGGGGAUGAUAUGAUGAAGAUUCAGAAGAUGCAGAAUGUAAUUCUAAGAGAGCAUACCGAAUUCUGCAACCAUUUGUGGCUGCUUUGCCUUCAUGAUCAGAUACCUUUUGACCAAGAAAGUUGAAUCCCAUGGCUAUGAAGCACUAAUAACUGCAGGAAGAAAGAGAGUAAUGAUGUUGCAGCCUUGUUGAUCCAGCAUCAAGUUGGAAAAAAUGCUAGAGGAUCCAAAUCUAUUGAAAAGUUUCCUGCACAGAUGCCUUGUUUUAUGCAAGGCAGUUCUUACCCUGUCCAAUCACCCGCCACUGCACAAUACACGGCAAGUGAUCGAAUUAAAUCCUUCCAGCACUUGGAGGUUCCAAAUUCUGGCGACUCCAACCCCACACCCCGCCCCUGGAACUGGAUGAAGAGAAGAAAAAAGAGACAGGCAUGCACCACAGAGAGACGGAGAGAGAGAGAGAGAAAGAUAUGCCAAACCAGGCCUUGAAAGAAGUUCUGAAACUACCAAAAAAGAAAUAUACAUGUACUGGAAUAAUUCUGAAAUGGUUUAGAGACAAUUCUCUGA
This is a non-coding RNA of Phoenix dactylifera (date palm), 3147 nucleotides long. Lineage: Eukaryota; Viridiplantae; Streptophyta; Magnoliopsida; Arecales; Arecaceae. The record is from RefSeq and is a predicted model, not a curated record.